UGGAACAAUGUAGGUAAGGGAAGUCCGCAAGCUGGAUCCGUAACUUCGGGAUAAGUAUUGGCUGUAAGGGCUGGGUCGGUUGGGCUGGGUGUGUGCCGCCACUCGAUGAGGCCCCGCUGCCCCCCCAAGCCCCAGGAAUGCCUGUUGUGGCCCUCCCCUGCCCCAACCCGUGUGCUGCUCACUCCCUCCCCUGCCCCCUCUCUCCCUGUCCUCCCCCUCUAUGGAGGUAGCUUGUGGGGGUGGAGGGGUGGCAGUGGCCAUACAGCCCCAGUGGCAGGGCAUGAUCUCCCGUGAGGGGGGGCUGGUGGUGGUGGUGACUCUGGACACAAGCUGGGCCCUUCCCAUGGAUUGCCCCAGUUGUGGCCACCCAUGGGGAGCCCAGUGGGUGCUGGCGUGUCCUGUCUCGCUCCGCGCUGUCAUGCAUGUCGGCGUGGGCAGGGAGUGAUUGGGUCAGUGGGUGGCAGGCGGGGUGGUUCAUUCCCCCACCUCCCCCGCAGCCCCAUCUGUCUCCUGUCCCCCCCUCCGUGGAGGUGGCGGGCCGCGGGCUGGUCCCCGCCACAGGGGCCACGGUUCCGUGCAGCACCUCGGCCAGUGCUUAGCAGCCGACUUAUAGAACUGGUGUGCACCAGGGAAAUCCAACUGUUUAAACAAAGCAUCGCGAAGGCCCUCGGGGGGUGUUGCCAAGUGAUUUCUGCCCAGUGCUCUGAAUGUCAAAAUGAAGAAAUUCAAUGAAGUAUGGGUAAAUGGCGGAAGUAACUAUGGCUCUCUUAAGGUAGCCAAAUGCCUCGUCAUCUAACUAGUGACGUGCGUGAAUGGAUGAAUGAGAUUCCCACUGUCCCUACCUACAACCCCAGAUUUCAUCUGGCAUCAGCCCCCCACACCCAGGAAUCACCUACAAACUCACGAGCCUCAUGGUGCUCCUCCCCUAUGUCUUUCAUCUCUUCCCCCCCAGGCCUCAGGGACUCUCCUGUGUCUCCCAGUUACUCUCCAGCCAUCCAGAGGUUUCUGCGGGAGUCAGCCCCAUGCACCCAGGAGUCCCCCAGAGACUCACAAGUCUCGGGAGAAUAUGAGCAGUCCCCCAGCCCUGACUCCUCAAGAUUCAUACCUGUCUCACCCAGCUUCUCCCUCUCCCCUCCCAGAAACUCAGACCCAAGAGGCAGCUCCUCACCAGGGAUGUGGAAGUACUCUACAUCAUCCCGCAGGGCUUCACCACUCUCACAUCCCUCAUCAACAGAAUUUCAUAACUUUACAUUUCCCUUUCCUAGCCAAGCAGGACAAUCACUCAUGUCAUUGUGCUCUCCUGUGUCCAGUGAAACCACAGCCAAGGGAAUGGGGUUGGUGGAAUCAGUGGGGAAAGAAGAACCUGUUGAGCUUGACUGUAGUCUGGCAUGGUGAAGAGACAUGAGAGGUGUAGAAUAAGUGGGAGGUCCACAGUGCCCCCCUAUCCCCGUGAGGGGGUGGGGUGGGGUCCUGUGGGCUGCCCAUGGAAUACUACUACUCUGAUCGUUUUUUCACUGACCUGGUGAGGCAGGGGGUGAGCCCCGAGGGGCCCUCCCUUCUGGCGCCAAGUGCCCAGCUGCACGCCAGCUGGGUGUUGACCCGUCCCGAGGACAGUGCCAGGUGGGGAGUUUGGGAUGGUACACCUGUCAAACGGUAAUGCAGGUGUCCUAAGGAGAGCUCAGGGAGGACAGAAACCUCUUGUGGAGCAGAAGGGCAAAAGCUCGCUUGAUCGUGAUUUUCAGUGCGAAUACAGACUGAAAGCUGGGCUUUGACGAUCAUUCUGAUGUUUUUAAGCAGGAGGUAUCAGGAAGUUACCACAGGGGAUAACUGGCUCGUUGCGGCCAAGCAUUCAUAGGGAUGUUGUUUUUUGAUCCUGUGAUGUUGGUUCUUCCUAUCAUUGUGAAGUAGAAUUCACCAAGCAUUGGAUUGUUCACCCACUAAUAGGGCAUGUGAGCUGGAUUUAGAUCGUAGUGAGACAGGUUAGUUUUACCCUCCGUGAUGUGUGUUGUUGCCAUGGUAAUCCUGCUCAGCAUGAGAGGAACCGCAAGUUCAGACAUGUGCUUCGUUGAGGAGCCAAUGGAGUGAAGCUACGGUCUGUUGGAUUGUGACUGAACGCCUCUAAGUCAGAAUCCUGCCCAGGCAGAAGGAUACAGCA
RNAcentral lists this non-coding RNA (2155 nucleotides) under Pan troglodytes (chimpanzee). Its description in RNAcentral is "Eukaryotic large subunit ribosomal RNA". It matches the Rfam family "Eukaryotic large subunit ribosomal RNA", at positions 1891 to 3168 of the family's 3401-position model. Lineage: Eukaryota; Metazoa; Chordata; Mammalia; Primates; Hominidae. The record is from Rfam by way of RNAcentral.